GACGAACGCUGGCGGCGUGCUUAACACAUGCAAGUCGAACGGAAAAGGAGUGCCUUUGUGGGGUGCACGAGUGGCGAACGGGUGAGUAACACGUGAGUAACCUGCCCUUGACUUCGGGAUAACUUCAGGAAACUGGGGCUAAUACCGGAUAGGAGCUCAAGAUGCAUGGGGAGGGGUGGAAAGGUUCGGCGGUUAGGGAUGAGCUCGCGGCUUAUCAGCUUGUUGGUGGGGUAGUGGCUUACCAAGGCUAUGACGGGUAGCCGGCCUGAGAGGGUGACCGGCCACAUUGGGACUGAGAUACGGCCCAGACUCCUACGGGAGGCAGCAGUGGGGAAUAUUGCACAAUGGGCGGAAGCCUGAUGCAGCAACGCCGCGUGCGGGAUGACGGCCUUCGGGUUGUAAACCUCUUUCGCCUGUGACGAAGCGAGAGUGACGGUACCUGGUAAAGAAGCACCGGCUAACUACGUG
Molecule: ribosomal RNA, 468 nt
Filed under: uncultured bacterium
Lineage: Bacteria
Description: partial 16S ribosomal RNA
Rfam family: Bacterial small subunit ribosomal RNA
Source: RNAcentral